GCCGGGGUAGCUCAAUCGGUAGAGCGUGUGGCUCUUAACCUCAAGGUCGUGGGUGUAAGUUGAUUAUCACACCACAACCACAAGUUUACAUACUAAUUAUGACUGCAGUCGAGCCCCACCUUCGGCU
RNAcentral lists this transfer RNA (127 nucleotides) under Pseudocercospora pini-densiflorae CBS 125139. RNAcentral describes it as "tRNA-Lys (CTT) (tRNA-Lys-CTT-2-1)". It matches the Rfam family "tRNA". Rfam says of the family: Transfer RNA (tRNA) molecules are approximately 80 nucleotides in length. Their secondary structure includes four short double-helical elements and three loops (D, anti-codon, and T loops). Lineage: Eukaryota; Fungi; Ascomycota; Dothideomycetes; Mycosphaerellales; Mycosphaerellaceae. The record is from RNAcentral.